CCGGGUCUUAAUUACAUUGCUGUUUGUGGGAUCUUGCUCUGCAUAAAUAGGACAAAAGUUCCACUUCACAGCUCUGCUCACAGAGGGGGAAGAAUCACCACCUCCCAAUCGCACAGGAUAUCAGCUCCGCUCUCAAACCUCAAACUCUUGGAGGCAUGCCCUACCGUUUCCUUUCAAGAGCGCGGCCUACUCUCACUGUCGGGAUGCAGACACUGCUCCCUUUGUGCUGACGGGUCAGUUUUAAAUCACGGUCACAGGGAGAACCUGCAAAACUCCACACAGGCAGCAACUGAGGUCAGAUCAAACCCAGGUGCCCGGAGCUGUGAGCCGGCAGCUCGACUGCGUUAUCGGGGAAGCAGCAGCAAAUAGAUUGCCUGGUCAACGCCUGGACCAUGCUCAGUCAGGCACAUCCUGAGCGGAUUCUCCUGCCUUAUUGUCUGCCUGCACUGCACUUACUCUGCAUUCUGUUAUUGCUUUACCCUGUACUGCCUCAGUACACUGUGUAAUGAGUUGAUCUGUACGAAUGGUAUGCAAGACAAGUUUUUCACUGUACCUCGGUUCAAAUGACAA
Long non-coding RNA from Pristis pectinata (smalltooth sawfish), 570 nucleotides. RefSeq lists it as uncharacterized. The record is from RefSeq and is a predicted model, not a curated record. NCBI's taxonomy places the organism in Eukaryota, Metazoa, Chordata, Chondrichthyes, Rhinopristiformes, Pristidae. The transcript is spliced from 3 exons.